UGAAGAUUUUGGAGUACAAAAGGGGAAGAAUAGUGCUUGAUAAUUGCAUGGAAAUGUAAAUGCUUUGGGGAUACUACAUGGAGGCAGCAAAUGGCAUACAUUUAGAGAGAAUGACUUAGGUAUUCUGGCAUUGAGACUUCAUGAAAGAGAGGAUUUCUUCUGAGUGCUCAUCAGAUCUAGAUUUCAGAAAGAAACCAAGACAAAAAAAAAGGGACAUGGCACUGGAGCAAGGAUCUGUUGGUUAGAAAUGGUUAUUGGUAUGGAUACAGAAAGGCUCUAAAUGGUAGUCUGGAUUUGUGCUUGUCCACACAAGCAGUGACCACCACUUUCAAAUAAUGCAGGUGAACAAACAUGAGGAAAAAGCUGAGAAAAAAAAAAAAUGGAUCUAUUUGUGGGAAAAACAUCCAUAAGAACCAGGAAAAGGGGAGCAGAAAAAAAUUUAUCUGGAGCACUUCAAAGAAUGCAGGUCCUUGUCAUAGAAAAGUCUGCUCAUGAAGUGUGUUUUCUUAUUAUCAUCUAUAUAAUUUCACAGUAUGGCUACUGAGUGCUGAAUAAAACAAUAUCAGAAUACAAAAGCCAAGGUUAUAGUCUUUAGUAUUUGAUGCCAAUUUUAAUUUUAACAGACAUUUCAUUUUAAGUCAAACCCACCUCUAUCUGCAAAGUAUAUAUCUUUGCUAUCAAUAUAUCUGUAAAAUUGCUAUCAAGGAGCUGGCAGCUUAUCUAUAAAGCUUGCUGUAAAGGACUUUCCUGGUUUCUACUGAAAAUGAUCACUUUGAUCACUUUGCUACAUAUAAAGCUUAAAGGAGGGGAUUUUAAAACAAAAUGCAACAUAUAAAAUACUCACUAUACUUCCUCUCUGGAACAUGAAGCAUCUAAGGAAUUCUACCAAAUGCUCCCUAAAGAAGACAAAUCUCAAAAAAGUUUCUUAAAAAAUAAAAAAAGUUUCUUCCUUGUUCUGACCAGACUGCCUUUAAAUUACACUGCAAAACCCUUCUGAAAGGUUGUUCUUGGAAAGCAGAAAAAAUGAUGAUCAAACCUGCCAUGAGGCAGAUGAUUAUCAAGAACUUUAAUGGAUUUGAGCACAGGGCUACAGCAGAGCUACAAAAGAAUCCCUUGACCUCAGUGUGUGUUUUUGUUCUGGCACAAAGCACCAAAGCCUGCAGUGCACUUUUAAUGUUGCUUUAAUAGUGUGGAAGCCCAACCCUCUACCUAGCCAGAGACUUUUCAAAACCCUUUUAAGCCUCUGAAGACAUUUGCUCUGUAUUAUCAAGGUUCCCAUUUAACACUGGAUGAAUCCAUUUAGAGCCACUGACCUGGACCUCUAAUGAAAAUUUGACAAAUAUUGGUUCCAAGUCCUUCUUCAAAGUUUCAAGAAUUCUGGCUACAUUUCAUCUUCAUAAUCUUUGCCCAGCCAUGAAUUUCACUUGGAAUUCUCCAAACAAACAACAGGGUCAAUGCACAGUUAGGUAAUUUGUUUCCAGGAACAGUGAAUCUUUCUGCUGUGGAUUUUUCUGCUGUGGAUUCUAACCCCAGCCUGCCCCAGGGAUUUAACUCCCCACACAACCUCAGUAGGAAGUGCCUUGUGCUUCCAGUGGAGCAGGCAACACCAAAAACCCCCAGAUGGAUUUUGGAUUGCUAUGACCAAUUCUCCUGUCAUCAAGUAUUUGCUCUCUAGAGAGCCCACAAGAAACUUCAGGUCUAUUCAGAUUGUUAAAAUCUAUUUUAUUCUUACCAGUGAUGUUAUUUUGAUGAAAAAAAAUCUACUUGCAGUGCUGCCCCUGAUAUCCAAACUCAACAGGCUUUUAUUAUACUAUGAA
Zonotrichia leucophrys gambelii is the source of this 1817-nucleotide long non-coding RNA. RefSeq lists it as uncharacterized. The transcript has 3 exons. The record is from RefSeq and is a predicted model, not a curated record. Lineage: Eukaryota; Metazoa; Chordata; Aves; Passeriformes; Passerellidae.